RNAcentral lists this ribosomal RNA (315 nucleotides) under Triticum aestivum (bread wheat). Its description in RNAcentral is "partial small subunit ribosomal RNA". The record is from RNAcentral. Lineage: Eukaryota; Viridiplantae; Streptophyta; Magnoliopsida; Poales; Poaceae.
AUGGAGCGAGCGUGGGACAAGGGCGUGGGACAAGGUGACGGUGACCGGCACGGCGAGCCAGAAGAAGGUGUUGCGCGCGGCGCGGCGCACGAGGAAGCUUGCCCACACCCCUCCUCCGCUCGCUCUCGUCUCCGUCAGGCUCUGAUGUUCACUCCAUUGGAGCUGAGUCUCCUUGCCGGCGACCUUGCCAUCACCAGCCUAUCUGCAGGGAUGGACAUAUGGAUUGAAUGGUACCCUCCUGAAAUCUACACAGGUGUCAGAUUUAAGAAAGAAGAAAUAGGGCCAAGAAUAUUAGACCGGAGAACGAAGAGAUGA